GACGAACGCUGGCGGCGUGCUUAACACAUGCAAGUCGAACGGAAAGGCCCUGCUCUUGUGGGGUGCUCGAGUGGCGAACGGGUGAGUAACACGUGAGUAACCUGCCCUUGACUUUGGGAUAACUUCAGGAAACUGGGGCUAAUACCGGAUAGGAUCUCCUGCUGCAUGGUGGGGGUUGGAAAGUUUCGGCGGUUGGGGAUGGUCUCGCGGCUUAUCAGCUUGUUGGUGGGGUAGGGGCUUACCAAGGCUUUGACGGGUAGCCGGCCUGAGAGGGUGACCGGCCACAAUGGGACUAAGAGACGGCCCAGACGCCUACGGUAGGCAGCAGUCGGGAGUAUGACACAGUGGGCGGACGCCUGAUGCGGCAACCCCGCGUGCGGGAUGACGGCCUUCGGGUUAUAAACCACUUUCGCCUGUGACGAAGCGUGAGUGACGGUAAUGAGUAAAGAAGCACCGGCUAACUACGUG
RNAcentral lists this ribosomal RNA (468 nucleotides) under uncultured bacterium. RNAcentral describes it as "partial 16S ribosomal RNA". It matches the Rfam family "Bacterial small subunit ribosomal RNA", at positions 28 to 507 of the family's 1533-position model. The record is from RNAcentral.